GAUGAACGCUGGGGGGUGCCUUAUUCCAUGAAAGUGAACGAACAGACGAGGAGGUUUGUCCUCUUACGUUUGCGGCGGGCGGGGUAGUUACACGUGGGAAAACCACCUAUUAGACCGGGGUAACUUCGGGAAACCGGGGCUAAUAACGGGUAAAUUUUUUAAACGGAUUGGUUCAUAGGUAAAGACGGGUUUGCUGGUACUUAUAGAUGGACCCGCGCCGCAUUAGCUAGUUGGUAAGGUAACGGCUUACCAAGGCAACGAUGCGUAGCCGACCUGAGAGGGUGAUCGGCCACACUGGAACUGAGACACGGUCCAGACUCCUACGGGAGGCAGCAGUAGGGAAUCUUCCGCAGUGGGCGAAAGCUUGACGGAGCAACGCCGCGUGAGUGAUGAAGGUCUUCGGAUCGUAAAACUCUGUUAUUAGGGAAGAACAAAUGUGUAAGUAACUAUGCACGUCUGGACGGUACCUAAUCAGAAAGCCACGGCUAACUACGU
Molecule: ribosomal RNA, 495 nt
Filed under: uncultured bacterium
Lineage: Bacteria
Description: partial 16S ribosomal RNA
Rfam family: Bacterial small subunit ribosomal RNA
Source: RNAcentral